This is a long non-coding RNA of Fundulus heteroclitus (mummichog), 1075 nucleotides long. RefSeq lists it as uncharacterized. The transcript is spliced from 3 exons. NCBI's taxonomy places the organism in Eukaryota, Metazoa, Chordata, Actinopteri, Cyprinodontiformes, Fundulidae. The record is from RefSeq and is a predicted model, not a curated record.
UGUGCAAUGAUAUAACUUUAUGUAUAAUCUUUUUGUUUUUCCUCAGUCUCACCUAGGAUCGUAAACAGCUCCCAUUGCACAGUUACAGGAGAGCAGCUGAUUUGUGUGUGCAUCAGUUGGGGAAAUCCUCUACCACCAAUCUUUUGGCCUUUGGAAACCCUCACAGAUUACUCAGUCACUAGUUUUAGCAUUGCUCAGAGAGUAAGAAGCACCUUCACCAUGCCUGCAGCUAAAUAUCACAAUAACACGGUCAAAUGCAUGAGCAGCAAUGAACUUGGUCAGGCCGAAACUGAUAUUCUGAUUGAAAACUCUGCAGAGGAUGUCAAGCCAGACGAUUCUCAAGGAUCAAGCAAAGGGUUUGACUCGGCUCUUCCCUGGAUAACCGGAGUGUGUUUCACUCUAAAUCUGGUCUUUGUUGCCGUCAUCGUCUGUAUUCAUCAAAGAAGUAAAAAUAAGCUCAAGGAACCAUUUGAAGAAGUAAAGACAUAUGCAUCUUUGAGAAAGGUUGAUGUGGAGGAAGAGUACAGCGUUAUUUCCCCACAGUGUAAAUAGGGCAACUUUAGCUUUGCAACAAAGAGGAAGUAACAUUUAUCAUGAUGUCAUGUAUUUAAAAAUAGCUAUUUAAAUUGUGCUUGUUAGUAAUGUACAGGGUGACAAGCCUUUUUAAGUCAAACACGUAUAUAUCAGCCUAGUGAUGUACAAAUUAUCUACCCUUAGAGAUAAGGCGAGUCAGCUGGGAACUCCUAAUAUAGCUGCUCCUUCUCCACAUGUUAAAGAGGAAGCUGAGCUGUUUCAGCUAUCUGAUCAGGACGUUUGAAUCACUUGGUACUGUUCUUCCAGCAACCCUACUGAAGACAAACAAAUGGACAGACAGAAAGAUGCAAACAUGCAUAUCUAAAUUGCCGCAGUUAGGUUCAGUGGUUGCUAGUGAUAAAUUGUUUUUUGGGAGGCGCACUACAGUAGGGGUCGGCAAUUGCCACACAAUAAACCCUACCUGAACCCUGCAUGGUCCCUGUCCUGCUGUUGGAUCGCUACGUUUGGUCAAUCUGUUUUUUUAUUAUUCCUCCAGCAAAGC